AGCAGCCGCGGUAAUUCCAGCUCCAAUAGCGUAUAUUAAAGUUGUUGCAGUUAAAAAGCUCGUAGUUGAAUUUCGGGAUCAUCAGGUUGGUCGUGCCACUGGUAUGCACUGGCCUUGGUGAUUCCUCCUUCUUGAGGAGCCGUGAUGCCAUUCAGUUGGUGUUGCGGGGAAUCAGGACUGUUACUUUGAAAAAAUUAGAGUGUUUAAAGCAGGCUC
RNAcentral lists this ribosomal RNA (216 nucleotides) under uncultured Glomus. RNAcentral's name for it is "partial small subunit ribosomal RNA". It matches the Rfam family "Eukaryotic small subunit ribosomal RNA", at positions 569 to 787 of the family's 1831-position model. The record is from RNAcentral. Lineage: Eukaryota; Fungi; Glomeromycota; Glomeromycetes; Glomerales; Glomeraceae.